AAGAACAAAGGAGCUGUACUCCGUGAUGAUGUUUACACUAUCAAUCUCAAGUUUUGCCUAUCCAGAAAUAUGUAUCCAGCGGUGGUCCAAUGGGCCCAUGGGCCAGCCCACCUGUCAAAACAUCUGAUGAACUCAUUGAUUGACAAGUAUUUUGAAACACCAGGCAUCACUACCUUAACACAGAAUUACUGUAAAUCUUGUACUAUAUGUGCUAAAUGCAAUCCUGGAAAGAUUAUAAAGACUGCACCUAAUCAUCUAGCUAAACCACAAUACCCCUUCCAGAGGAUCCAGAUUGAUCACAUUCAGAUGCCAAAGAGUGGACGUUAUGAAUAUGCAUUGGUCAUAGUGGAC
Non-coding RNA from Pelobates cultripes (western spadefoot toad), 351 nucleotides. Lineage: Eukaryota; Metazoa; Chordata; Amphibia; Anura; Pelobatidae. The record is from the annotation of a GenBank genome assembly.